AGUGAACCCUGGCGGUAGGCCUAACACAUGCAAGUCGAACGGCAGCACAGUAAGAGCUUGCUCUUACGGGUGGCGAGUGGCGGACGGGUGAGGAAUACAUCGGAAUCUACUUUUUCGUGGGGGAUAACGUAGGGAAACUUACGCUAAUACCGCAUACGACCUACGGGUGAAAGCAGGGGAUCUUCGGACCUUGCGCGAUUGAAUGAGCCGAUGUCGGAUUAGCUAGUUGGCGGGGUAAAGGCCCACCAAGGCGACGAUCCGUAGCUGGUCUGAGAGGAUGAUCAGCCACACUGGAACUGAGACACGGUCCAGACUCCUACGGGAGGCAGCAGUGGGGAAUAUUGGACAAUGGGCGCAAGCCUGAUCCAGCCAUACCGCGUGGGCGAAGAAGGCCUUCGGGUUGUAAAGCCCUUUUGUUGGGAAAGAAAAGCAGCAGGUUAAUACCCCGCUGUUCUGACGGUACCCAAAGAAUAAGCACCGGCUAACUUCGUG
This 492-nucleotide ribosomal RNA is filed under the name uncultured bacterium. Its description in RNAcentral is "partial 16S ribosomal RNA". It matches the Rfam family "Bacterial small subunit ribosomal RNA", at positions 29 to 507 of the family's 1533-position model. The record is from RNAcentral.